RNAcentral lists this ribosomal RNA (274 nucleotides) under uncultured bacterium. RNAcentral describes it as "partial 16S ribosomal RNA". It matches the Rfam family "Bacterial small subunit ribosomal RNA", at positions 523 to 796 of the family's 1533-position model. The record is from RNAcentral.
CUACGAAAGGUGCAAGCGUUGUUCGGAUUUACUGGGCGUAAAGAGAGUGUAGGUUGUUUAUUAAGUCGGAUGUGAAAUCCCGGGGCUCAACCUCGGAACUGCAUUCGAUACUGGUAGACUAGAGUUCGGGAGGGGUAAGCGGAAUUCCGUGUGUAGCAGUGAAAUGCGUAGAUAUACGGAGGAACACCUGAGGCGAAGGCGGCUUACUGGACCGAUACUGACACUGAGACUCGAAAGCGUGGGUAGCAAACAGGAUUAGAUACCCUAGUAGUCC